AAAAUGCGAUAAGUAGCGUGAAUUGCAGACGCUUUGAACGCCGAAAUUUCGAACGCACAUUGCGCCAUAGGAUUCCUAACCUAUGGCACAUCUGGUUGAGGGUCGUGAUCAAACACAGACAAGGAUUGAGUCUGUAGUAAAGCUAAUUGGUGGAUCAUCAUGCCGACACAAUGCCUAGUUGUCGGCGGUGUUCUGCCAUCAUGCAUUAGAGGGUGCCCAGAUUGAAAGGGUGCUUCCUUACCACGCGGACGGGCAGCCAACGACUGUAUUAGAGGGGUCGGCCGUCAGGUAUUUGUUUCA
This 300-nucleotide unclassified non-coding RNA is filed under the name uncultured fungus. RNAcentral describes it as "sequence contains ITS1". The stretch from base 1 to 105 matches the Rfam family "5.8S ribosomal RNA", at positions 50 to 154 of the family's 154-position model. The record is from RNAcentral. Lineage: Eukaryota; Fungi.